This 368-nucleotide long non-coding RNA is filed under the name Linum usitatissimum (flax). RNAcentral's name for it is "long non-coding RNA (LUSI_LNC007083)". Lineage: Eukaryota; Viridiplantae; Streptophyta; Magnoliopsida; Malpighiales; Linaceae. The record is from RNAcentral.
UUCAGCAGUCCCAAAGCGACAUUCUAAAUUCUACUGGAUUUGGAGGCCAAUUCCGGACCUUUCAGCAGCCCCAAAGCGACAUUCUCGAUUUCACCCGAUUCGGAGGCUUAACUCGCUGGAAAUUUCCUUUUGGAGAGGUACGGAAUUGCCAAAAUCCAGCGAAUUUGGCCUCGAAUCCGAAUUCCGGGAGCCAAAAACGUGGCCAAAGAGAUUCAUUACUGCUAUUCUUAUAGUCAAUCAUACAAAUUUUGUUUAUGUCAUGGUUGUAGCAAAUUUUAUAGCUGAGAGACUGACCUCUGGGAUUGGAGGCAGAGAGUGGUGAAGCAGGAAGGGCAGCUGAGGACGGCGUCGGAGCGGCGGUUCCCUCG